AUUGAACGCUGGCGGCAUGCCUUACACAUGCAAGUCGAACGGCAGCACGGGUGCUUGCACCUGGUGGCGAGUGGCGAACGGGUGAGUAAUACAUCGGCACGUACCUUAUCGUGGGGGAUAACGCAGCGAAAGCUGUGCUAAUACCGCAUACGCCCUGAGGGGGAAAGCGGGGGAUCGCAAGACCUCGCGCGCGUAGAGCGGCCGAUGCCUGAUUAGCUUGUUGGUGGGGUAAAAGCCCACCAAGGCGACGAUCAGUAGCUGGUCUGAGAGGACGAUCAGCCACACUGGGACUGAGACACGGCCCAGACUCCUACGGGAGGCAGCAGUGGGGAAUUUUGGACAAUGGGGCAACCCUGAUCCAGCAAUGCCGCGUGAGUGAAGAAGGCCUUCGGGUUGUAAAGCUCUUUUGUCAGGGAAGAAACACCGGCUCUAACACAGUCUGGGAAUGACGGUACCUGAAGAAUAAGCACCGGCUAACUACGUGCCAGCCGCCGCAGUAA
Molecule: ribosomal RNA, 500 nt
Filed under: uncultured bacterium
Lineage: Bacteria
Description: partial 16S ribosomal RNA
Rfam family: Bacterial small subunit ribosomal RNA
Source: RNAcentral